GGGGAACCUUUUACAAAAGGUGAAAAGGGAGAUAAAGGAGAACCUGGGCUAAUAGGAUCACAGGGAAUAAAGGGCGAACCUGGAGAUCUUGGUCCCCCUGGUUUAAUAGGAAGCCCAGGAAUAAAGGGUCAGCAAGGACCCGCAGGACCUAUGGGACCCAGAGGACCACCAGGAGAUAUUGUAUGUAUAGU
Molecule: long non-coding RNA, 191 nt
Organism: Hipposideros armiger (great roundleaf bat)
Lineage: Eukaryota; Metazoa; Chordata; Mammalia; Chiroptera; Hipposideridae
Exons: 4
Source: RefSeq, a predicted model, not a curated record